GACGAACGCUGGCGGCGUGCUUAACACAUGCAAGUCGAACGGAAAGGCCCUGCUUGCAGGGUACUCGAGUGGCGAACGGGUGAGUAACACGUGGGUGAUCUGCCCUGCACUUCGGGAUAAGCCUGGGAAACUGGGUCUAAUACCGGAUAGGAGCCAUCUUUAGUGUGAUGGUUGGAAAGUUUUUUCGGUGUAGGAUGAGCUCGCGGCCUAUCAGCUUGUUGGUGGGGUAAUGGCCUACCAAGGCGGCGACGGGUAGCCGGCCUGGGAGGGUGGACGGCCACAUUGGGACUGGGAUACGGCCCAGACUCCUACGGGAGGCAACAGUGGGGAAUAUUGCACAAUGGGCGCAAGCCUGAUGCAGCGACGCCGCGUGGGGGAUGACGGCCUUCGGGUUGUAAACUCCUUUCGCUAGGGACGAAGCUUUUUGUGACGGUACCUAGAAAAGAAGCACCGGCUAACUACGUG
RNAcentral lists this ribosomal RNA (465 nucleotides) under uncultured bacterium. Its description in RNAcentral is "partial 16S ribosomal RNA". It matches the Rfam family "Bacterial small subunit ribosomal RNA", at positions 28 to 507 of the family's 1533-position model. The record is from RNAcentral.